ACGGAAGGCAGCAGUGGGGAAUAUUGGGCAAUGGGCGAAAGCCUGACCCAGCGACGCCGCGUGAAGGAUGAAGAUCUUCGGAUUGUAAACUUCUGUCGACAGGGAAGAAACAAAUGACGGUACCUGUUGAGAAAGCCACGGCUAACUACGUGCCAGCAGCCGCGGUAAUACGUAGGUGGCAAGCGUUAUCCGGAUUUACUGGGUGUAAAGGGUGUGUAGGCGGGAUUGCAAGUCAGAUGUGAAAAUUAUGGGCUCAACUCAUAACCUGCAUUUGAAACUGUAGUUCUUGAGAGUCGGAGAGGUAAACGGAAUUCCUGGUGUAGCGGUGAAAUGCGUAGAUAUCAGGAGGAACACCGGUGGUGAAGGCGGUUUACUGGACGAUUACUGACGCUGAGACACGAAAGCGUGGGGAGCAAACAGGAUUAGAUACCCUGGUA
This 437-nucleotide ribosomal RNA is filed under the name uncultured Oscillospiraceae bacterium. Its description in RNAcentral is "bacterial SSU rRNA". It matches the Rfam family "Bacterial small subunit ribosomal RNA", at positions 341 to 792 of the family's 1533-position model. Lineage: Bacteria; Bacillati; Bacillota; Clostridia; Eubacteriales; Oscillospiraceae. The record is from RNAcentral.